RNAcentral lists this transfer RNA (70 nucleotides) under Ogmocotyle sp. JM-2015. Its description in RNAcentral is "tRNA-Asn". Lineage: Eukaryota; Metazoa; Platyhelminthes; Trematoda; Plagiorchiida; Notocotylidae. The record is from RNAcentral.
AUCCUAGUAGAUUAAGUUUAAAUUGUAAGGCUGUUAACUUUAAGAUGAUGUGUUGUUUUGUCCUAGAUCG